This is a long non-coding RNA of Herpailurus yagouaroundi (jaguarundi), 1437 nucleotides long. RefSeq lists it as uncharacterized. The record is from RefSeq and is a predicted model, not a curated record. Lineage: Eukaryota; Metazoa; Chordata; Mammalia; Carnivora; Felidae. The transcript has 5 exons.
CCUGCAGGAGAGAAGGGGGCUCAGCAACCAGGGGCCGCCGUGGCCAUGGGCCUGCCGCCCUGCCGCCCUCCCUCCCGGAGGCCCCCAGGGCUGGGUGCUGUGCUUCGCCUCGAGGGGCCUCAGUGCCUGCGAGGGCUGCUCACACACAGGGGAAGGGCCAAGCAACAAGCACAUACGCACGACUUGUGUCUCCUGCGUGGAGUCUCCCAGGGGUAGUAUCUGCAGUCUUCCAGAGCCCCCAGCCUGUGGACCAUUGUAUCCAAAGUGCUGGGCCAGCCUGCCAGCUUAGGCCACACCCCUCCUUCAGAUGGGGUGCCUGCUGCCAGGCAACCACAGCCUAAAGAAAAAAUGCAGCCAAGGGACCGUAGCUGUUCUGGACCACGCAGGCCGCCAGGAAGGAGUGGGGAAGUUUUCUUUUAAGAGACCCUUAAAUGGUGUUGCAAAGUGAUGUUCAACAUAGGCUCUUGGCAAAAGAGAACAGGAUUUAAAAGCACAGACCGGAAGUGUGGACGGCACCCAAACCAACACGUGUCAUCACAUACCUCGGGAUGUCCCUCACUUUGGCAGUGAAGUGGCACUCAGCGUACAGGAUGGCUCGAAAACAGCCUUAGCUGACCGUGCACAAGUCAGAGCUCCACGAUUAUGGGCCUAGUAUGCAGCUAAGUAUAAUGACCUCACAAGCCACGAUGUGCCCUUACCUGCCGCUGCCAAUGGACGGGAACGCGAUGGACUUGAGCUUCUUAUCGUCUGCCAGGGCCAGACAGUUCUUCACCGUCUUUUCCAGAAGUUCCUCACACUUGUCUGCACCCCAGACCGGACUGUUACAGUGGAUCACAAACUUGGCAGGCAGGCCGUGACCUGCGCUGACAGCAGCUGGAGGAGACAAGACAGGAACAGUGAGUUCUGUCCCUCACACACCCAACACAGUGCCCUCCAGCUGCAGCGCGCCCCCAGGCUCCCCUGUGGCCUGCAUCCAGGGAGCGCUGCAGCUGCCUGCCAUCUUGUGCUUCUGAUGUCCCCCUAGAAACUGCUCACCAGCGAGUCUUCUCGGGAAACACCAGGCCAAGAGCCACCCUUGGAAAGCUGGCAUUGAGAUGCACCACCACGAAGAAUUUUAGCCAAGAUUACAGCCAGCCCUCUCUGUACAUCCUCCCAGAGGCGGACCCUGAACCACCUAACUUGACUGACUGUGUCAGAAUGUUUGCAGCCUCAAAUUCGCCUCUGGGGAUCUCUAAGCCCCCUUCCUCCUGUGAACUCCUGUACACGUAAUUAUGAUGUGUCUAUAAAUCUCCCCAGCAGAGUUCAGGAUAAACCUAUUAGGAAAGCAACUCCAUUUAAUGAGCCACUAAGCAACAUGACUGGCAGCUCUGGUGCCCGCCUCUCCUCCUGAACUGAUCUUCGUUUUUGACAGAAUUAAAUUGUUCUUUCACGCUGGAA